AACCCUAUACGGGGGAUCACUUGGCUCGUGGGUCGAUGAAGAACGCAGCUAACUGUGUGAAAUCGUGUGAACUGCAGGACACAUGAACAUCGACAUUUUGAACGCAUAUUGCGGUCCAUGCAAAAGUUUAAAUUUUUGUUUAAACUGCAUGGACCACGUAUGGUUGAGUGUCG
RNAcentral lists this ribosomal RNA (173 nucleotides) under Phlebotomus papatasi. RNAcentral's name for it is "5.8S ribosomal RNA". It matches the Rfam family "5.8S ribosomal RNA". Rfam says of the family: 5.8S ribosomal RNA (5.8S rRNA) is a component of the large subunit of the eukaryotic ribosome. The record is from RNAcentral. Lineage: Eukaryota; Metazoa; Arthropoda; Insecta; Diptera; Psychodidae.